Small nuclear RNA from Cavia aperea (Brazilian guinea pig), 105 nucleotides. The record is from Ensembl. Lineage: Eukaryota; Metazoa; Chordata; Mammalia; Rodentia; Caviidae.
GUGUUCGCUUCUGCGGCACAUAUCUAAAAUUAGAACGAUACAGAGAAGAUUAGCAUGGCCCUCUGCAAGGAUGACAUGCAAAUUCGUGAUGUGUUCCAUAUUAAA